CAUAAGUCAUUUGCUGUCUUAAGAUUUUUUCUGAAUCACGUGGUCAUUUUUUUUUCUUGUAUUUAUUUUCUCUAAACGCGGGUUAAACGUUGACAUGGUCGACUCGCAAUAAAUAGCCGGUUAUCCGGUCUGAGGGUCUCAUUCAAUGCCGAGUCUGGCAAGCUUAACACUAACCCAAGACAGAGAAAAAGAUGGCGGAAUUAAAACAUUACUUCCUACUCUGUAUUUUAAUAGCAGGUCUAUCAGUUAGCCAUUCUCAACUUCAUGGAUUAGCCAAAAUGUUAGCUGGGCCCCGGGGAGGGAUGUUGAAAAUGUUAGCACACCGCGUGCCCUUAUUACAGAGAGGCUUGGCAACGUUACAAGACAUGAAAAUAGCAAAACGAUUAGGAUGCACCGCUGCCUUUGACAACGAAUCACCUUUAAGAACAAUUAUGCCAUCUGGAUGCACAGCUGAAAAGGAUAUCUGCCCAUAUGUAAAGCCAACUAAAAGAUGUGUACAAGUGGGCAUAAUCGGAAUGUGCUGUCCUUACAUGGUAAACUCGUCUACAAUAAAAAAUGCUAAAAUGAUGUACAAAUGGAAACGGUUAUCAGAAGUGAUGGCAUAAAAGGACAAAAGACCUGGGCUAAAAAAAACUAUAUAAAUAUAUAUUUUAUUUAUGUGGGUGUGUUUGUGCUUGUAGUUAUUUAUCAUAAUUGAAAUGACUGUGAUUUACGUCAUCGGCGCCGUUUUUGUGUUCAUAAAAAGACAACGGUUAAAGCUAAUUCUCUAUUAAUUAGACUAUGACUUGACCUAUAAUUACAAGGGCAUUUGAAACCUUUAUCAACAACAAUUAAGGAGGCUUGAUAAAGAUCUCAAUUGGUUUCAAUGAUUAAUUGUUUGUUUAUUAAUUGUCAAUGUAAUUGAAAGGCAUCUGGUAUAUGUCUGCCCAAACCUAA
Patella vulgata (common limpet) is the source of this 936-nucleotide long non-coding RNA. RefSeq lists it as uncharacterized. The record is from RefSeq and is a predicted model, not a curated record. The transcript is spliced from 3 exons. NCBI's taxonomy places the organism in Eukaryota, Metazoa, Mollusca, Gastropoda, Patellidae.